Molecule: ribosomal RNA, 520 nt
Filed under: uncultured prokaryote
Description: bacterial SSU rRNA
Rfam family: Bacterial small subunit ribosomal RNA
Source: RNAcentral
GGGGAAUCUUGCACAAUGGAGGAAACUCUGAUGCAGCGAUGCCGCGUGAGUGAAGAAGGCCUUUGGGUUGUAAAGCUCUUUUGUAGGGGAAGAUAAUGACUGUACCCUAAGAAUAAGGUCCGGCUAACUUCGUGCCAGCAGCCGCGGUAAUACGAAGGGACCUAGCGUAGUUCGGAAUUACUGGGCGUAAAGCGCGCGCAGGCCGUUGAGUUAGUUAAUUGUGAAAUCCCAAAGCUUAACUUUGGAACUGCAAUUAAAACUGCUCGACUAGAGUUUGAUAGAGGAAAGCGGAAUACAUAGUGUAGAGGUGAAAUUCGUAGAUAUUAUGUAGAACACCAGUUGCGAAGGCGGCUUUCUGGAUCAACACUGACGCUGAGGCGCGAAAGUAUGGGUAGCAAAGAGGAUUAGAUACCCUCGUAGUCCAUACCAUAAACGAUGAUUGCUAGAUGUUGGAAAUUUAUUUUCAGUAUCGCAGCUAACGCAUUAAGCAAUCCGCCUGGGGAGUACGACCGCAAGGUUA